ACACCUCAACUCUCAUGGCUUUGCCGUGAUGAGCUUGGACUUUGGGGGUCUUGCUGGCCUGUGGUCUGCUCCUCUCAAAUGAAUUAGCUUGCCAGUGUUUGGUGGCGUCACAGGUGUGAUAACUAUCUACGCUUGUGGUUUUCCACCAGGUAACCUUCAGUGAUGAAGGUUCACUGGGGCUCAUAAAAGUCUCUCCUCAGCGAGGACAGCUCUAUGAAU
This 219-nucleotide unclassified non-coding RNA is filed under the name uncultured Tomentella. RNAcentral describes it as "sequence contains ITS2". The record is from RNAcentral. Lineage: Eukaryota; Fungi; Basidiomycota; Agaricomycetes; Thelephorales; Thelephoraceae.